Molecule: long non-coding RNA, 829 nt
Organism: Atta colombica
Lineage: Eukaryota; Metazoa; Arthropoda; Insecta; Hymenoptera; Formicidae
Exons: 4
Source: RefSeq, a predicted model, not a curated record
AAAAAUAUAGUAUUAAUUAUAUCAUCAAUAAUGCAGAAUAUUCUAUUACUGACGUCCAUGAAGUUCACUCAAGACUACAGAUGUGACUGUUUUGUCGCAAUAUUUGGAUGAUAACACAUCUGCUUCAAUUUUGAAUUUCUAUUGUAGAUGAUAUAUACUAACAGUACAAAUACUGGAUCUGAAAGAAUUUUUCGUGAAUUAUGCGGUCGACGAAAUUGCUUUUGAACAGUUAUUUAGAGUGUAAAGAUCGUUUUCACAAUUCUAAAGUUAAAAAAAAGAUUUUUAACCGAAAUUCUUCAAAUUAUGAAGGAAAAUGGUUAUAGUGAUUUAAAUGAAGAUUUCCUUGAUAGAAAGAUGCGUAAUAUGAAAAAAUCUUAUAAAAAUAUAAAGGAUAACAAUAAUAAAAAAGCUAGCACUGGUCGAGGAACAAAUUUCGUGGAAGUACGUCAAUACUUUUGAAGACAUAUUUGCUAAUGACAUGACGAUAAACGGCAGUUCAACACUUUCUUCGAUGCAAGGAAAUAAUGAAAUAACCGCAAGUGAAUCUUCUCAAGAUGAUAAUGAACCAAUUGAUCCAAGUUCAUUUGGCUGUUCCUCAAGAAAUUCCUCUGCAAGUGUACUAGUCCUUGCACUAGUGUAACGCCAACAUCGGAAUUAUUGCGAAAAGCUACUCGAUGAGUCUAUAUAAACUACGGCAAAGACAAAUCGAAAAAAAACGCAUUGACACCAUGUUACAAUUUAAGUCGUCCAGAUCAGAAUAAUAAAAUUCAAGAAAAGAAAAACAAAUUGAUAGAACAAUUCUUACUUUUGAAGAGCAAUCAACAUAAUG